GCAGUUGCCAGUGGUGACUAUAUAGCCCUUCACUGCCAUUGAGCUCUUUAUUUUGGGGGGACCGGGGGUGGUAUGUGCAUAUCUGGCUCUCUAUUUUAUUUUUAUACAAACGAUAGCAUAUACUGUUUGUCUUGCCCUCAGGUUUGGUUUCUGUUGCCGCUGUUGUUUUCUUUUCCAACAUCAUAAGCCUCUUCCUUAUCUUUCCAUGUCUGCACACAGGAAGCGGCAUCACUUGUUUUUCAUGUCCUGCGCAUCGAGGCACACUUUCUGCUCCUCUUUGUGCCGCCAGCCGGCCCAGGCCCACAGAUGGUAGGACUUGUGCCCCAGGCUGCUGUGUGAGUCAGAGUCAGGCAGGAAGCAAAUGGCAACUUCACCGCGGUGACUGAGGAAUGCUUAACGAAGGCGCCGCCCUUGACAACGGUGUGGGUUGGUAAAAGGAAACAGCCGGGAGCCCUGCAGCGCCGGUGCCGCCACCGUUUAGUCUGACUGUGCAUUUGACUAAGUCACAAGAGGCCAGGCCUGUGACUUGUCCGAGGGAAAAACCACCAGAAAACCAGGUGUCUGGGCUCCCAAUCAGUAAUCUUCAUUGGGUUUGCUUUGAUUGUAAACGAACAAAAAAAAAGCUUAGUUAUUUAAAUUCCAUUCAUGAAUCUAGGAAGGAGCUUAGAAAUUAGCCUUUUCCACAAUCAAGACCAAUUAGUCAACUCUUCUAUUGUAAGUUUUCAUCAUUUUUCUGUUUACCCAACUUACAAACUGCUUUUUAAGUCAGAACUUGAAGAUUUAUUCCUGGCAAAUGUUUUUAAGAGCAAAAAUUUGGAAUCAGUGUAAGUGUCCCCAAAUAGGAUAAUGGGAAAGUAAAUGAGGAUACAUCUACUCAGUGGAAAAUAUCUUAAACUGUUUGAAGUUUGCAAUAAAGUGGAAAAUGCUUAGCUGUUAUGUUCAAGAAAAAUUAUGAAGUCUAAUUUAUUUAGAGUGCCAUGAUAAUUAUGCUAAUUCAUAUAGGCACUGAAACAAAAAAAAAAACCCUAAAACUUACAUGAAGAAAAAUAGACUGGAGAGGAAGACACCAACAUGUUACUGAUAAUGAUUAUCAUUUUAUGGGUGAAAUGAGAUUGAUUUUUAUUCACUUCUCUCAACGUUUCCAAAUUUUCUCCAGUGGUCAUCUAAUACUUCCAGAACAACAACAGCAUUAACUACAAGAUCACAGUUCAAAGAAACAAGUCGCUGAGAUAAUUUGACAAGUGGUCUAUAUCCAGAGCCAUUAAUAUACCCACAACUUCUGACCCAGUCAUUUCUCUUAGGAAUCUGUCCUGAGGAAGUAGUUCAGCUUUCAGAAAAAGCCCUAGGCAGGGAGAUGUUUACUGCAGGGAAAAACUGGAAACCACGUAGAUGCCAAACACUGUAAAAAUAGUUAAAGAAAACGAGGUUCAGCCACUUGACACCACUACGUAUUCAUUAGGAAAGAAAAUGAUGACAAAAAGCAUGCACUGUGACACCAAAGACAAAACUCAGCAUUCACAAUUGAAUGUGCAGUAUGAUAAGAGGGUUUGUUUAUUUUUAUUUAUUUUUAUUUUUUAUUUU
RNAcentral lists this long non-coding RNA (1581 nucleotides) under Homo sapiens (human). Its description in RNAcentral is "non-protein coding lnc-CLEC3B-5:1". The record is from RNAcentral. Lineage: Eukaryota; Metazoa; Chordata; Mammalia; Primates; Hominidae.